GGUAAAGUUAUAAAUUAAAAAAGCAAUAGGCCACCUAAGGGCUGUAUCCAGGCACUCCGAGAGUGCCUUUGUACUGCUGGAGGGGCGGCAGGGUAGCCUAGUGGUUAGAGUGGAGGGGCAGCAGGGUAGCCUAGUGGUUAGAGUGGAGGGGCGGCAGGGUAGCCUAGUGGUUAGAGUGUAGGGGUGGCAGGGUAGCCUAGUGGUUAGAGUGGAGGGGUGGCAGGGUAGCCUAGUGGUUAGAGUGGAGGGGCGGCAGGGUAGCCUAGUGGUUAGAGUGGAGGGGCGGCAGGGUAGCCUAGUGGUUAGAGUGGAGGGGCGGCAGGGUAGCCUAGUGGUUAGAGUGGAGGGGUGGCAGGGUAGCCUAGUGGUUAGAGCGUUGGACUAGUAGACCGAAAGGUUGCAAGUUCUAAUCCCCGA
Long non-coding RNA from Oncorhynchus tshawytscha (Chinook salmon), 417 nucleotides. The record is from Ensembl. Lineage: Eukaryota; Metazoa; Chordata; Actinopteri; Salmoniformes; Salmonidae.